This 497-nucleotide ribosomal RNA is filed under the name uncultured bacterium. RNAcentral describes it as "partial 16S ribosomal RNA". It matches the Rfam family "Bacterial small subunit ribosomal RNA", at positions 28 to 507 of the family's 1533-position model. The record is from RNAcentral.
GAUGAACGCUGGCGGCGUGCCUAAUACAUGCCAGUCGAGCGAACAGACGAGGAGCUUGCUCCUCUGACGUUAGCGGCGGACGGGUGAGUAACACGUGGAUAACCUACCUAUAAGACUGGGAUAACUUCGGGAAACCGGAGCUAAUACCGGAUAAUAUAUUGAACCGCAUGGUUCAAUAGUGAAAGACGGUUUUGCUGUCACUUAUAGAUGGAUCCGCGCCGCAUUAGCUAAUUGGUAAGGUAACGGCUUACCAAGGCAACGAUGCGUAGCCGACCUGAGAGGGUGAUCGGCCACACUGGAACUGAGACACGGUCCAGACUCCUACGGGAGGCAGCAGUAGGGAAUCUUCCGCAAUGGGCGAAAGCCUGACGGAGCAACGCCGCGUGAGUGAUGAAGGUCUUCGGAUCGUAAAACUCUGUUAUUAGGGAAGAACAAAUGUGUAAGUAACUAUGCACGUCUUGACGGUACCUAAUCAGAAAGCCACGGCUAACUACGUG